This 343-nucleotide transfer-messenger RNA is filed under the name Acidimicrobiaceae. RNAcentral describes it as "JABEUN01 sp013044475 Standard tmRNA". It matches the Rfam family "transfer-messenger RNA". Rfam says of the family: Bacterial tmRNA, also known as 10Sa RNA or SsrA, is named for its dual tRNA and mRNA-like properties. Its role is to liberate the mRNA from a stalled ribosome. Lineage: Bacteria; Bacillati; Actinomycetota; Acidimicrobiia; Acidimicrobiales. The record is from RNAcentral. RNAcentral also lists the same sequence under 1 other name.
GGGGGUGACAGGCUUCGACUUCGGAUUUUUGCGGUAAGGGAAGCGAGCCGUGGUUCCCGGAACCACGUUAAAGAGCCGGGGAUAAAAUAAACGCGAACCAUACGUACGCACUCGCCGCUUAAGGCGAUGUCUUACUGACCUAGGUUUCAGGGGUCAGCACCGGGCAUAAUUUACUGAAGCUCACCUUAGGUCUUGGGUCACUCGGAGACCGAGGGAAACUUAGAGUGACGAGGUCAGGCUGUCCCGCCAGGGGGUCACGCCCGAUCACUUAAGCCUGGAUGCGCUCGGAGAAGACUUACCUACAGACCGAAGGACGCGGGUUCGAUUCCCGCCACCUCCACCG